Molecule: long non-coding RNA, 292 nt
Organism: Gavialis gangeticus (Gharial)
Lineage: Eukaryota; Metazoa; Chordata; Crocodylia; Gavialidae
Exons: 2
Source: RefSeq, a predicted model, not a curated record
CUGAAUUUUAUAAAGCUGAUCGAUAUCUUGGUAAAAUAUUCAUUUUUAAACUAGCGGGCAGUGAAAUCUUUGCUUUGUGCUAAAGUCAACAGUAGCACAGUUUGAGCUCAAAUAAAUGCUGUGAUGCCUCCGCUCCAAGCAGUUGGUCGCGUCUCGCUAAUGCUGGAUUGUCAUCGCCUUCAAAUGCGCAGCUCAGGGGGGCACCAGAAAACUCAGUGUCUUAAACCUCAGAAAUUCCAGCCUCUGAAAAUGGAAGACCUGCAGCAUUAUGAGACAGUAACUACAUUCUUCU